RNAcentral lists this ribosomal RNA (459 nucleotides) under Salmonella enterica. Its description in RNAcentral is "bacterial SSU rRNA". It matches the Rfam family "Bacterial small subunit ribosomal RNA", at positions 1 to 456 of the family's 1533-position model. Lineage: Bacteria; Pseudomonadati; Pseudomonadota; Gammaproteobacteria; Enterobacterales; Enterobacteriaceae. The record is from RNAcentral.
AAAUUGAAGAGUUUGAUCAUGGCUCAGAUUGAACGUUGGCGGCAGGCCUAACACAUGCAAGUCGAACGGUAACAGGAAGCAGCUUGCUGCUUUGCUGACGAGUGGCGGACGGGUGAGUAAUGUCUGGGAAACUGCCUGAUGGAGGGGGAUAACUACUGGAAACGGUGGCUAAUACCGCAUAACGUCGCAAGACCAAAGAGGGGGACCUUCGGGCCUCUUGCCAUCAGAUGUGCCCAGAUGGGAUUAGCUUGUUGGUGAGGUAACGGCUCACCAAGGCGACGAUCCCUAGCUGGUCUGAGAGGAUGACCAGCCACACUGGAACUGAGACACGGUCCAGACUCCUACGGGAGGCAGCAGUGGGGAAUAUUGCACAAUGGGCGCAAGCCUGAUGCAGCCAUGCCGCGUGUAUGAAGAAGGCCUUCGGGUUGUAAAGUACUUUCAGCGGGGAGGAAGGUGUUG